GGUUCUAGAAGCGAUAAAAAUUUAAUAGCAGCAGAUUCUUACUCUGUAGGUGGAUAAUUUAAUUAAUCCCUGAGCCA
This 77-nucleotide transfer RNA is filed under the name Cryptocelis alba. Its description in RNAcentral is "tRNA-Lys". Lineage: Eukaryota; Metazoa; Platyhelminthes; Polycladida; Cryptocelidae. The record is from RNAcentral.